This 81-nucleotide transfer RNA is filed under the name Deltaproteobacteria bacterium. Its description in RNAcentral is "tRNA-Pro". The record is from RNAcentral. Lineage: Bacteria; Pseudomonadati; Myxococcota; Myxococcia.
AGGGGCUUUGAGGCUUGUAAAAUUCUGACUAUCUGCUUUGGGAGCAGGAUGUCGGAGGUUCGAAUCCUCUCGCCCCGACCA